RNAcentral lists this ribosomal RNA (253 nucleotides) under uncultured bacterium. Its description in RNAcentral is "partial 16S ribosomal RNA". It matches the Rfam family "Bacterial small subunit ribosomal RNA", at positions 524 to 776 of the family's 1533-position model. The record is from RNAcentral.
CACGUAGGGUGCGAGCGUUGUCCGGAAUUAUUGGGCGUAAAGAGCUCGUAGGCGGUGUGUCGCGUCGGCCGUGAAAACCUGCAGCUUAACCGUGGGCUUGCGGUCGAUACGGGCAUCACUGGAGUUCGGCAGGGGAGACUGGAAUUCCUGGUGUAGCGGUGAAAUGCGCAGAUAUCAGGAGAAACACCGGUGGCGAGGGCGGUCUCUGGGCCGAUACUGACGCUGAGGCACGAAAGCGUGGGGAGCAAACAGG